This 474-nucleotide ribosomal RNA is filed under the name Kosakonia oryzendophytica. Its description in RNAcentral is "bacterial SSU rRNA". It matches the Rfam family "Bacterial small subunit ribosomal RNA", at positions 46 to 513 of the family's 1533-position model. Lineage: Bacteria; Pseudomonadati; Pseudomonadota; Gammaproteobacteria; Enterobacterales; Enterobacteriaceae. The record is from RNAcentral.
GCUAACCAUGCAAGUCGAACGGUAGCACAGAGAGCUUGCUCUCGGGUGACGAGUGGCGGACGGGUGAGUAAUGUCUGGGAAACUGCCUGAUGGAGGGGGAUAACUACUGGAAACGGUAGCUAAUACCGCAUAACGUCGCAAGACCAAAGAGGGGGACCUUCGGGCCUCUUGCCAUCAGAUGUGCCCAGAUGGGAUUAGCUAGUAGGUGGGGUAACGGCUCACCUAGGCGACGAUCCCUAGCUGGUCUGAGAGGAUGACCAGCCACACUGGAACUGAGACACGGUCCAGACUCCUACGGGAGGCAGCAGUGGGGAAUAUUGCACAAUGGGCGCAAGCCUGAUGCAGCCAUGCCGCGUGUAUGAAGAAGGCCUUCGGGUUGUAAAGUACUUUCAGCGGGGAGGAAGGUGUUGUGGUUAAUAACCGCAGCAAUUGACGUUACCCGCAGAAGAAGCACCGGCUAACUCCGUGCCAGCA